This 372-nucleotide transfer-messenger RNA is filed under the name Sphingomonas sp. ID1715. It matches the Rfam family "Alphaproteobacteria transfer-messenger RNA". Rfam says of the family: Bacterial tmRNA, also known as 10Sa RNA or SsrA, is named for its dual tRNA and mRNA-like properties. Its role is to liberate the mRNA from a stalled ribosome. Lineage: Bacteria; Pseudomonadati; Pseudomonadota; Alphaproteobacteria; Sphingomonadales; Sphingomonadaceae. The record is from RNAcentral.
GCCCUUGGCGUCUCGCACCCAAGCGCCUAUAUCGGUCGGUGCCGGGUUCGCCCGGCUAUGGCGAUAAACUGCGGCGUAUAAUAGGCGCAGCGGACCCGGGGGCAGUACCCGGCGGCUCCACCAGGUGAGCCGGUUGGCCGACACGCAUGAAGCGUGCCGGCCGAGCGGCUCAGCUAAUGGGGCCGAACCAGGAUCGACGUGUGUUGAAAAGCGCUGUUUUCGCCCGGAAUGGGACCACCGCAACGGCCCAUCACACAAGUGCCAACGAUAACGAGGCGCUCGCGAUUGCUGCUUAAUCCCAACCCUCACGGGUAAGAUUAAGUAGGCCAAAAGCGCGGUUCGGGCCGCACCGGGCAACAGAAGCGGAUUCCG